UGGGGAAUAUUGCACAAUGGAGGGAACUCUGAUGCAGCGACGCCGCGUGAACGAAGAAGGCUUUCGAGUCGUAAAGUUCUUUUAUAUGGGAAGAUAAUGACGGUACCAUAAGAAAAAGCCCCGGCUAACUGCGUGCCAGCAGCCGCGGUAAUACGUAGGGGGCUAGCGUUGUCCGGAAUCACUGGGCGUAAAGGGUUCGCAGGCGGAAAUGCAAGUCAGGUGUAAAAGGCAGUAGCUUAACUACUGUAAGCAUUUGAAACUGCAUAGCUUGAGAAGAGUAGAGGUAAGUGGAAUUUUUAGUGUAGCGGUGAAAUGCGUAGAUAUUAAAAAGAAUACCGGUGGCGAAGGCGACUUACUGGGCUCAUUCUGACGCUGAGGAACGAAAGCGUGGGUAGCAAACAGG
This 403-nucleotide ribosomal RNA is filed under the name Fusobacteriota bacterium. RNAcentral's name for it is "Fusobacteria bacterium partial 16S ribosomal RNA". It matches the Rfam family "Bacterial small subunit ribosomal RNA", at positions 355 to 776 of the family's 1533-position model. Lineage: Bacteria; Fusobacteriati; Fusobacteriota. The record is from RNAcentral.